UUUUGUGAUAUCUGGAGACAGGAGGUUCUGUGGACAGUCACACUGUGCUUCUUGGGAUCUGUGUGGCUCCCAGGGGCACUGAGAAUUCAGGGCAGUACCCGAGAGGUGGCCAAGGCUGGCAUCACCUGAUGGUUUUUGAGUAGGACUUUAGUUCUGGGAGUCUCUACCAUCUUUUAAAAGCAUUUGGAUUUGCUUCUUCAUUGAUUCUGGGAGUUCUGAGCUUCCCAGCUGGUCAGUGUGAUUUUUGCAGGAAGGAAAAGCACAGAAUAGAAAUUGUUUCAGAUAGAAAUUGUUUCAGUUCUUGCUAGCUGUGACAGCCACAAAAAGUCAAAUGCUGUCUUCCCACUCUGCUGCUUAGAGGAAUGGUAUCAGUUGGAAUGAUUGGGCAUCUCUGCUUCCUUAGACCCUCUCUGACACAAGCAAGGUGCUGUUUCUGUUUCAUUUUUUUCCCCACUAAACUCUGGGUGGAUUCCAUCCAUUCAUAGAUGAGUGCUGAGCAAUGCAAAGCUUGUUUUGCAGAAAGACAUGACUGUGUCUCUGUGGAGGACCGGCUUUAUCUCCUGAAGGUAGGAUUUGGCGUGGGACUGAUGCCAGGAGCUGGGGACGGGCAAGCCUUCCUCCAUCCUCACACACGCAGAACGCAAAGCAAAAGCAGAGGGCUGCGCACAGAGUGGGGUUUAAUGGUCACUUGGUGAGGGGAGGAGAUGCUCCUGCUCCGCUCCGGGUCGUGCCUGAGGAGCAGCAGCCACACGAGGUCAGUGUUGCACUGUGCAAGUGGCUGCAAGAAGGCGGCACGGCCUUGGAGGAAAACUUGACCCAGAGAGGAGGGUUAAUUUGUCGCGGACACUUCUGCAUGCUUUGCUGCCCGCUUUACCUCUGCGUUUGGAGAUACGCGGUGCUAAUGAGGAAUUUGUUCCUGGAAGGAGAUUUUUAGCCGACGGGGGAAGAAAAGCUGCCGGGUGGGAGCAGUGCAGAGCUGGCGCCAACCAGAACCCUCGUCCAAAACACCCACUUGGCAGAUUAUUAUUAUUGUUUUUAACCCGCUGUAUUUGUUUGCUUAUUUUUCACACGUUUGGGAGUCGUGUGGUUUCAGCUGGGAGUGGAAACAUCAAAAUAUCUUGAGAGGAGCUCGGCCAAAGCUCUGCGGGGAGGGCUGUCUCGUGUCUGCUCCGAACCUGGGGGGGUUUCAGAGGUGUAAGGUGGAACUGCAGACCACGCGUGUCUGAGUUUUAUGCUCUGAGCAGCACUCCGUUCCUCAGGAAGACCUACAGGUUGGGGUAUAAAACCUGAAGCGCUUACAUUCAGAACAAGGCAGAGUUUGUCACGUAUUUUCUUUUUUCCCCCCCUCAAAAUGUCUUAAGAGUUUUGACUCCAAUUCAGCUCCGUGUUUUGACAACCUCAGUUUGAUGACGAACCACCGCCAGCACUCCGCUGUGUCUGCCUGGGGAUGCUCUGACAACUCCCAGCUCUAAUUGAGCAACAGGUUUGCUUCUCACACGGCAGACUUUGUGACUCUGAUCCCUUCCUCUUUGUGAAGCUAUACCCGUCACCAUGAGAAUACCUUGAAAAGAUGGAAAUUUUGAGCCCUCCGUCUUUGGAAAGCUUUCCUCGUUGUCUUCACUUUUUCUUACAACUUUUUACACCUUCAUUUUCUGUCUGCAGCACAGCAUAGAUCUGCCUCAGUGUCAGAGACAUUUGCCCCCCAUCCCACAGUGCAGCGCUGGGCUGUCAUGUUGGGAUGCUCUUCAGGGGGAAAAGUCAUCAGUCACUGAGAAUAAUGUUUGAAAGAGACUUUCAUUUUCAAAUAAAAAAUGCCAUUCUGU
Molecule: long non-coding RNA, 1823 nt
Organism: Gallus gallus (chicken)
Lineage: Eukaryota; Metazoa; Chordata; Aves; Galliformes; Phasianidae
Source: Ensembl